UUUCCGUAGGUGAACCUGCGGAAGGAUCAUUACAGAGUUAGGGUCUUCCAGGCCCGAUCUCCCAACCCUUUGUUUACCAAACCAUUUGUUGCUUCGGCGAGCCCGUCUCUCGGGACCGCCGGGGGACCUCUCGAGGACCCCUGGCCCGCGCUCGCCGGUGGCCCAAACCUUUAAAUUCUUAACUAAACGUGUCAUGACUGAGUACCAAUUUUUAAAAUUAAAAGCAAAACUUUCAACAACGGAUCUCUUGGUUCUGGCAUCGAUGAAGAACGCAGC
This 276-nucleotide unclassified non-coding RNA is filed under the name uncultured fungus. Its description in RNAcentral is "sequence contains ITS1, 5.8S rRNA gene". The stretch from base 228 to 276 matches the Rfam family "5.8S ribosomal RNA", at positions 1 to 49 of the family's 154-position model. Lineage: Eukaryota; Fungi. The record is from RNAcentral.